Molecule: long non-coding RNA, 791 nt
Organism: Trachymyrmex cornetzi
Lineage: Eukaryota; Metazoa; Arthropoda; Insecta; Hymenoptera; Formicidae
Exons: 3
Source: RefSeq, a predicted model, not a curated record
CGUCGUUUCGCUCCGAUCGUGGAAGAACGUGUCGGCUUUUAUUCAUGUAUACCGUUGUACUGCGUUGUACGCUGUACAGCGUGCGUUUUCCUUUCGCUGUCGUUCUCCGCUACGCGAGGAAUAACGCACUGCACGUGAACGGUAAAUGGCCGCGAGUCGCAGUGACGUGCUCUCGACAAUUUUUCGCGAUUAUCCUAAACCAUAACAAUAAUGUUAUCGCCUUUUGUGGUGUUAAAUGUUGCAAGCAGAAACAUUUUUACUUCAACCCCUGUGAGUCAGAUAAUUAAAUUGAGUCCAAUUGAGAGUAGUGGACAACAGCGAGAUAGAAAGGCAAGCUAUGAUGGAGGGUAGAUCACCACGUUGCAUACACAUUUACAACAAGCGUGGGAUGAGAUACAUCGGUGUUGGAAUUUUAGUUGUUAGGGGGCAAAAAGAAAAAGAGUAUACUGGUUGGAUUGAAAUAGCAGCAGGUUCCUAAAAUUCCCAAAUUUGAUAGCAACAAUCUGGUACUCGUAGAUGAUAUACUUCUAGGUACAAGAAUACAGGUGCCUAUUCCACACAUACUCCGAACGAAAAUAAAAGAACAGACACACAGCAAAGGAGCAGAUUAUACCAACGAUUGCAUCCAGAUUCGUCUAGUGUAUCUAUCUUAUCUACUAUUGUAAUACAUAUCAAAUAUUUCAAGAAAAUGUUAAUAUUGUAAUUAUUUAGUAUUUUUUGCAAAACUUAUUUGCAAGCGUAUCACUCAUGUAUCUCUGUAUUUUAUUGUAUAAUAAUAUUAUAAUAAUGAA